RNAcentral lists this non-coding RNA (31 nucleotides) under Mus musculus (house mouse). Lineage: Eukaryota; Metazoa; Chordata; Mammalia; Rodentia; Muridae. The record is from RNAcentral.
UGAAAGUGUCUAUCAGAAAUGUGUGUCACGC